RNAcentral lists this ribosomal RNA (513 nucleotides) under uncultured bacterium. Its description in RNAcentral is "partial 16S ribosomal RNA". It matches the Rfam family "Bacterial small subunit ribosomal RNA", at positions 28 to 523 of the family's 1533-position model. The record is from RNAcentral.
GACGAACGCUGGCGGCGUGCCUAAUACAUGCAAGUAGAACGCUGACUACUUUAGCUUGCUAGAGUAGAAGGAGUUGCGAACGGGUGAGUAACGCGUAGGCAACCUGCCUACUAGCGGGGGAUAACUAUUGGAAACGAUAGCUAAUACCGCAUAACAGUGUUUAACACAUGUUAGAUGCUUGUAAGAUGCAAUUGCAUCACCAGUAGAUGGACCUGCGUUGUAUUAGCUAGUUGGUGGGGUAACGGCCCACCAAGGCGACGAUACAUAGCCGACCUGAGAGGGUGAUCGGCCACACUGGGACUGAGACACGGCCCAGACUCCUACGGGAGGCAGCAGUAGGGAAUCUUCGGCAAUGGGGGCAACCCUGACCGAGCAACGCCGCGUGAGUGAAGAAGGUUUUCGGAUCGUAAAGCUCUGUUGUAAGAGAAGAACGUGUGUGAGAGUGGAAAGUUCACACAGUGACGGUAACUUACCAGAAAGGGACGGCUAACUACGUGCCAGCCGCCGCGGUAA